UUGUAAUUGGUUACUAGUGGUUAGGAUUCCUGGUUUUCACUCAGGCGGCCCGGGUUCGAUUCCCGGCACCGCAAA
This 75-nucleotide transfer RNA is filed under the name Dreissena polymorpha. RNAcentral's name for it is "tRNA-Glu". The record is from RNAcentral. Lineage: Eukaryota; Metazoa; Mollusca; Bivalvia; Myida; Dreissenidae.